RNAcentral lists this long non-coding RNA (624 nucleotides) under Ananas comosus (pineapple). Its description in RNAcentral is "long non-coding RNA (ACOM_LNC044235)". The record is from RNAcentral. Lineage: Eukaryota; Viridiplantae; Streptophyta; Magnoliopsida; Poales; Bromeliaceae.
UAUUAUUUUGACGAUAAUUUAAUAUAUGAUUUUUUAAUACAUAUAUUCAUCAAAAUUUUGAAAUCAAAUUUGAUCUCUUGGUGAUUAAUCUAUCUCGGUUGUGUGUGUUGGAUAUGAUAGAUGGAUAUUCGCGAAUAGACUAAAAUUUGUCAAAAUUAUUUUUAAUUGUGAGAUUGUCUAAUUUAAGGAGAGUUUGAAAUUAUUUUUUUUAAAAAAGAAGAAACUCCUAUGUUUAAAAGAUGUGGAAAGAGUUACAUCUUAAAAGAAGUGUGAAACUACCACCACAUGUAGGAAAGAGCUACCACCCUAGUCGUCCAGCAAGUGUGUGAAGCUACCACAUGAAAAUUGAAUUGAAUAAUUGAAAAGGUUAAAAAAAAAAAUUAAAUAUUUUAGAAUUUUCGGAGUUAUAAGGUGUUAGUUUGAAAAAGAUGCUCAAAGAGCCACCCCUGGUAUGAUAUUAGUUAAAUCUCUAUUUUGAACAGAUUGCAAUAAAUUGGUGUCAAUUUUGCCGAAUUUCUAAAAAUCAUUUUUCGUGAACCGUUACAUCCUGAUGAUUUUGAAACUCGAGGUUAUUUUUUUAAUAAAAUUUUGAUGUUUUGAUGUAUUUUGAAAUCUUAUAAUAUU